ACUUGAAUAGCUUAUAAAGUAGAGUGUAACAUUGAAGAUGUUAAGGAAAUUUAAUAAUUUUUAAGUA
This 67-nucleotide transfer RNA is filed under the name Eurycotis decipiens. Its description in RNAcentral is "tRNA-Phe". The record is from RNAcentral. Lineage: Eukaryota; Metazoa; Arthropoda; Insecta; Blattodea; Blattidae.